This 414-nucleotide RNase P RNA is filed under the name Maribellus luteus. RNAcentral's name for it is "Bacterial RNase P class A". It matches the Rfam family "Bacterial RNase P class A". Rfam says of the family: Ribonuclease P (RNase P) is a ubiquitous endoribonuclease, found in archaea, bacteria and eukarya as well as chloroplasts and mitochondria. Its best characterised activity is the generation of mature 5'-ends of tRNAs by cleaving the 5'-leader elements of precursor-tRNAs. The record is from Rfam by way of RNAcentral. Lineage: Bacteria; Pseudomonadati; Bacteroidota; Bacteroidia; Marinilabiliales; Prolixibacteraceae.
GCGGCAGGCCGCUUUAUCGCUCUGACGUUUACUGUCAGGGAGGAAAGUCCGGGCAACGCAGGGCACCGUGCUUCUUAGCGGGAAGAUCUUUGAAAGGGGAUAGCAACAUAACAGAAAAUAACCACCUUGUCCCGAUAGCUAUCGGGACAGGGAACGGGUGAAAAGGUGUGGUAAAAGCACACCGGUGGUGGUGGCAACAUCAUCAGCCGUAUGUCUCACGGGUUGCAAAGCCAUGUAUAUUCCGGUUGUCCGCUGUUGCGGUACAGCAGAACGGCCCGUUUUGUUCCUAACGCACAAAGGAACCGGAAGGGGUAGGCUGCAGGACCCUGGUAGUGAUACCUGGGCUAGAUAAAUGAUAAAGCUUUCCCGGGUGACCGGGAUUGACAGGACCCGGCUUACAGGCCUGCCAUUUUU